Molecule: ribosomal RNA, 714 nt
Filed under: Triticum aestivum (bread wheat)
Lineage: Eukaryota; Viridiplantae; Streptophyta; Magnoliopsida; Poales; Poaceae
Description: partial small subunit ribosomal RNA
Source: RNAcentral
AUGGAAGUGAAAUUUAGGGCCAGUUUAAAGGACCCAUCUGUUAAAGUUCCUGUUAAAAUUGAUUUCAAGAAGAUUCAGGAGGAUAUUUUUCAAGAAUAUGCUUUGAUUGCCUGGUCCAUGCCAAAUGAUAUAAUCACCCAAGAUCCUACUCCUAAGUCACUACACGCGGUCUUCUAUGAGCUAUCUCCCCAGUUGCGGCCCAUCUUAGAGAAGGAUAGCGUCCGGUGCUUACUCAACUUUUUGGUGAGCAAGCGGGGUAUGACAUGGAAACAUACCAUCACCUCACAAACCUUAACUUACAUGAUCAGUCAUGAUGCCCUACGAUGUGCAAAAGUUAUAUUGGAGGGCAAGGCACCAAGGCUCAAUGGACACCAUGCCAAUCCCAACUGCAUUAACCCAUAUGGAUACUUCCCGCUCCAUGAAGCUGCCGAAAGGUUUUCUGUUGACAUGAUCAAGUUACUCUUUCGUCAUGGUGCAUCAGCCAAUGUACGCACAGUCGGGGAUAACAUCAUUGAGAACCUACUCCCACUCCAUGUUGUGGUCGAAAAUACUUGCCUGCAUAAGUAUUUGGAGGAUAAUUUAUUUCCAUACCAGAACCAUCGGGAUUAUAUCUACAAGAUUAUCCAUCUGCUAUGCAUGCCUGAAAUGAAAAUCUUUUUGGAUACGGUUAGACUGCUAGCAGAAAGAACAGAUAAUCUAGUUGAUGAGAUAUGA